UUGAACGCUGUCGGCAUGCUUUACACAUGCAAGUCGGACGGCAGCACAGAGAAGCUUGCUUCUUGGGUGGCGCGUGGCGAACGGGUGAGUAAUAUAUCGGAACGUACCGAGUAAUGGGGGAUAACUAAUCGAAAGAUUAGCUAAUACCGCAUAUUCUCUGAGGAGGAAAGCAGGGGACCUUCGGGCCUUGCGUUAUUCGAGCGGCCGAUAUCUGAUUAGCUAGUUGGUGGGGUAAAGGCCUACCAAGGCGACGAUCAGUAGCGGGUCUGAGAGGAUGAUCCGCCACACUGGGACUGAGACACGGCCCAGACUCCUACGGGAGGCAGCAGUGGGGAAUUUUGGACAAUGGGCGCAAGCCUGAUCCAGCCAUGCCGCGUGUCUGAAGAAGGCCUUCGGGUUGUAAAGGACUUUUGUCAGGGAAGAAAAGGCUGUUGCUAAUAUCAAUAGCUGAUGACGGUACCUGAAGAAUAAGCACCGGCUAACUACGUG
Molecule: ribosomal RNA, 489 nt
Filed under: uncultured bacterium
Lineage: Bacteria
Description: partial 16S ribosomal RNA
Rfam family: Bacterial small subunit ribosomal RNA
Source: RNAcentral